CUAGCCCCUGCCAGGCGGGGUCACGGUCGCCGGCCCCGCUCAGUCCGCUGCCAGUCUGGGUUUCCGUCCACCGGCUCCUGUAAAUGUAAAAUGUAUUACUGGCACGCGAAACCUUAAAUUACAGUAAAUAAAUGAAGACUUGACACACCAUUUCUCAAAGGUUGCCAACCCUUGAUCUCUCCAGUCCAGUACCCUGGCUCUGGCAGUAGCUAGAACCAGAAGGUUCAGAGAAAGAUAAAAGCUCUGCCGUAGGCGGGUGUGAAAUAAUCUGCCACCCCAUAUCCUGGUCUUCUUUACCAAGAAAAUUUAAUUUUAAACAUAGAGCAGGAUGGCUGUUAUUUACUAAAGCUGGUCAGAUAGCAGGAAAAAAUGUUAGUUGAAUCUGUUGUGAUAAACUUCAGUAGCACUCAUUGAAUAAUAAACUUGCAGAAUUCCAUAAAAAGUAUUUGGCAAACAAGCUGUUCAUUGAAUACUGGUGAAUAUUGCUGAAUAUUGUAUCUGCUGUAUACUACUGGCCCAGCACCCUUAUUCACAAACACUGUUUGUCAGCCCUUAUUCACUUUAGUUCUGUCAGCAGACCCCGCCCCCCCCAAAAAAAAAAAAAAAAGAGACUGUUCUUGCAAUACACAUUAGCAAAAUAGGGAGGAAAAUGGACAAAAGUGUUCAGGGUAUUAGAGCCUUGAGUAAUAAAACUAGAACUUUAAAUGCACUUAUAAAUUCUCUGGAGGGAGAGGAGACAGCUCAGGCAAAUCAGCCUCUUGGAAUGACAGCUGUUUGGAAGGCAAAAAUAAUAAAAUGGAGGAGUGUGUUCAGGCUUCAGAACUCAUCAAAAAGAAAAGGGUGGAUUCUGCUCCCAUAAUGCAAAUUGAGAACCAGGUGCAGGCUUCCAAUUUGCCAAUUCUUGGAUUGCAAGAAAAUUAGCAGAGGGGCAAUUUAACAGCCUCCCUUGGGAAAAAAAGGUUGUCAGAAGCUUUGCUGCUAAAUGCACCUGACUAUCCCAUCAGUUGGCGCCUAUGGGAUAACAAACAGGAAGCAGAGGCAAAUGACAGAACUCUGUCAAAAUGCUAUUGUUCAACUUAAGAGAUAAAGUGAUGUUACAACAGGACACCGAAAGAGAAAACCUUGGUUCUAGUUAAACAAAAAUGUAUCAAGAAGAAUCUAGAAGUUUACAUCCCACUAACCUAUAGAAUUGAAGUGUCAAAAGUAGCAAGGCUGAGAGAACAAAACAUAACCUUGAAGUGGAGAAACUUCUGAAUAACUCUAAAGAUGGGGAACUGAAGAACAAACAGACCAAGUGGUUUGCACAUGCUCAUACAUGAAGUCUGUUGCAGAGCCACAAACUGAUCCCAUACCUCCUGAGGUCUAGUCCAAUGCCUUAAGAACAAGGCCACCCUUCUUCCCAGCUAUUAGACAACUCCCUGUUCGGAUUUGGUAUGACGUUGCAUUGCCUCCACAACAGUUCCAGGAGGCACUGUGCUCACAAAUAGAGAUGCUGGGCUUUAGCCCUGCUGAAAAUUUACCUUAACUUCCUCAGUCCCUUAACUUCACUAUUAUAAUCAUAAUAAAACUUAUUU
Molecule: long non-coding RNA, 1574 nt
Organism: Chelonia mydas (Green sea turtle)
Lineage: Eukaryota; Metazoa; Chordata; Testudines; Cheloniidae
Exons: 3
Source: RefSeq, a predicted model, not a curated record